Entelurus aequoreus (snake pipefish) is the source of this 761-nucleotide long non-coding RNA. RefSeq lists it as uncharacterized. The record is from RefSeq and is a predicted model, not a curated record. The transcript is spliced from 5 exons. Lineage: Eukaryota; Metazoa; Chordata; Actinopteri; Syngnathiformes; Syngnathidae.
UGUCGGUCACUGCCAGAGGAGGUUCUCUGUCCUGAGCAGGAGUUUCGGUCUCUAUGCAUCAAACAUCUACUGAGAAGAGGUCCUGUACCAUGGGAACAGAAGGGUCAUUUUGACAGAGGAGGAGAAAGUGGCUGUGUUAACCGAAGUCCAUGCAGGCCAUUUUGGACCACGGAGGAUGCAAGCGAAGAUUGCUCCCCGGUUUUAUUGGCGGUCCAUCACACAGGACACAUUGGAUUGGGUGCGCACACGUCCUGACUGCCAGCGCUUUGAAAAAUUAAAGACUGAGGCGCCUGAGCUGAAGCCCAUCAAGGCCUUGAGGGACAUUUUCUUUACUCAUGUUUUGCCUGAAGUUAUCCUCACUGACCAGGGCACUGAAUUCAAGAAAGAGGCUGAGGUAGCUUUCAAGGAGUUGGGCAUUGAACAUCGGGUUUCGUCAGCAUACCACCCCCAGACCAAUUGGCUUGAGAGGACGAACCAAACCCUUAAAGUGUCUAUUGGGAAGACCAGCAGGGGCCAACAGGAGAAGUGGGAGGACAAGCUCAGGGAGAUAGUGUAUGCCCAUAACACCUGUGUACAGGCAUCGACCAGGUACUCCCCCUUCCGCCUGAUGUUUGGUCGAGAGGCACGGAUGUUUACGGCAGAGGAUGAAGAAAGGGGUCAAGCGUUUCAUCAUCCAACCUGGAAUGGAGGUCCUCAAGAAGGAUGUGAGGAAGAAAGGGAGACCUGGGCGAACCAUGGACCCAAACUGGAGCCAGACCAUC